Molecule: ribosomal RNA, 254 nt
Filed under: uncultured bacterium
Lineage: Bacteria
Description: partial 16S ribosomal RNA
Rfam family: Bacterial small subunit ribosomal RNA
Source: RNAcentral
UACGUAGGGUGCGAGCGUUGUCCGGAAUUAUUGGGCGUAAAGAGCUCGUAGGCGGUCUGUCGCGUCGAUCGUGAAAACUUGGGGCUUAACCCUGAGCUUGCGGUCGAUACGGGCAUGACUGGAGUUCGGCAGGGGAGACUGGAAUUCCUGGUGUAGCGGUGAAAUGCGCAGAUAUCGGGAGGAACACCAGUGGCGAAGGCGGCACUCUGGGCCGGAACUGACGCUGAGGAGCGAAAGCGUGGGGAGCGAACAGG